This 253-nucleotide ribosomal RNA is filed under the name uncultured bacterium. Its description in RNAcentral is "partial 16S ribosomal RNA". It matches the Rfam family "Bacterial small subunit ribosomal RNA", at positions 524 to 776 of the family's 1533-position model. The record is from RNAcentral.
UACGGAGGGUGCAAGCGUUGUUCGGAAUUAUUGGGCGUAAAGCGCGUGUAGGCGGUUGCCUAAGUCUGGUGUGAAAUCCCGGAGCUUAACUCCGGAAGUGCACUGGAUACUGGGCAGCUAGAGGACGAGAGAGGAGAUUGGAAUUCCUGGUGUAGGGGUGAAAUCCGUAGAUAUCAGGAGGAACACCGGUGGCGAAGGCGGAUCUCUGGCUCGUUUCUGACGCUCAGACGCGAAAGCGUGGGGAGCAAACAGG